RNAcentral lists this ribosomal RNA (546 nucleotides) under uncultured bacterium. RNAcentral describes it as "partial 16S ribosomal RNA". It matches the Rfam family "Bacterial small subunit ribosomal RNA", at positions 356 to 893 of the family's 1533-position model. The record is from RNAcentral.
AGGGAAUCUUCCACAAUGGACGCAAGUCUGAUGGAGCAACGCCGCGUGAGUGAAGAAGGUUUUCGGACCGUAAAGCUCUGUUGUUGGUGAAGAAGGAUAGAGGUAGUAACUGGCCUUUAUUUGACGGUAAUCAACCAGAAAGUCACGGCUAACUACGUGCCAGCAGCCGCGGUAAUACGUAGGUGGCAAGCGUUGUCCGGAUUUAUUGGGCGUAAAGCGAGCGCAGGCGGAAGAAUAAGUCUGAUGUGAAAGCCCUCGGCUUAACCGAGGAAUUGCAUCGGAAACUGUUUUCUUGAGUGCAGAAGAGGAGAGUAGAACUCCAUGUGUAGCGGUGGAAUGCGUAGAUAUAUGGAAGAAUACCAGUGGCGAAGGCGGCUCUCUGGUCUGCAACUGACGCUGAGGCUCGAAAGCAUGGGUAGCGAACAGGAUUAGAUACCCUGGUAGUCCAUGCCGUAAACGAUGAGUGCUAAGUGUUGGGAGGCUUCCGCCUCUCAGUGCUGCAGCUAACGCAUUAAGCACUCCGCCUGGGGGAGUACGACCGCAAAG